CCUACGGGAGGCAGCAGUGGGGAAUUUUGGACAAUGGGCGCAAGCCUGAUCCAGCCAUGCCGCGUGCGGGAAGAAGGCCUUCGGGUUGUAAACCGCUUUUGUCAGGGAAGAAAAGGUUCUGGAUAAUACCUGGGACUCAUGACGGUACCUGAAGAAUAAGCACCGGCUAACUACGUGCCAGCAGCCGCGGUAAUACGUAGGGUGCAAGCGUUAAUCGGAAUUACUGGGCGUAAAGCGUGCGCAGGCGGUUAUGCAAGACAGAGGUGAAAUCCCCGGGCUCAACCUGGGAACUGCCUUUGUGACUGCAUAGCUAGAGUACGGUAGAGGGGGAUGGAAUUCCGCGUGUAGCAGUGAAAUGCGUAGAUAUGCGGAGGAACACCGAUGGCGAAGGCAAUCCCCUGGACCUGUACUGACGCUCAUGCACGAACGACGGUGGGGUAGGACGAAACGAAGGAGUAGUAUACCGUACGGUACGGUACCGACCGACCCGUAAACCGAACUAGUACACUAGGUUGGUUGGGUAGGGUUUCGUUUCUUC
RNAcentral lists this ribosomal RNA (538 nucleotides) under uncultured bacterium. RNAcentral's name for it is "bacterial SSU rRNA". It matches the Rfam family "Bacterial small subunit ribosomal RNA", at positions 338 to 836 of the family's 1533-position model. The record is from RNAcentral.